CAACAAUGGCGCAUAUUUUAUGACCGUGAUUGCAAUCCAAAUUUGCAUUUGAGCUCAGCAGUCGAGUGUGGUGCCAAAAAUACCAGAAGCGAUGUCCUAUAUACGGCCUUGACCAGAAGUGUUGCAUGCCCUGGAUGCAGAAAAACAAGAUUGAGAUGAGUGGAUCAAGAUGUAUCUUUCGUGCAGAUGCAUCAAGAUCCUUUCACUUAAGAUCCAUGCAGGUGAGGUUCCAGUGAAAUUUGAAUUCGAUAGGUAGCUAUUUUUGAUUUUGCUUUGAUACUUGUGGUAAGGAAACAUGAUUAUGGUUGCAUGAACCGCCCACUGCUCAUUGCUGUCUUGUCUCACGUUCGAUAUCCGAUCACCAUUCUUAAAUAGCUCACCCCAUAUGGAAAUCAGGUUUCAGGAGGCCACUAGGCUUGUGGGGCCUGGUCUCAAUGAGCUCCCAGUGCUAAGGACAGUCAGGCUCAUAUGCUGGGUAAGGUCAGGUUCAGGUAGGCCAGUAUGCACUCUGCAAAGCAUGGCAAUUUCGACAAGAUCUCGUCUGUGCUGGCUUGUCCGGCUGGUGAGGCUUUGGUGUGGCGUGGAUUUAGCUUGGUGCAGUGCGGAUUUUGUGUAGCGCGGUGCAGAUUUGGUCUGGUGUGGUCAGGUGGUGGGGGAUGUAGUGUAGUGCAUUUUAAAUGUGGCUGAUAGGUGUGCGGUGGUCAGAACGGACUGUGCCAGUGCUGGUGCCUGGUGGUCCCACCAAUCACGGGGGUCAUCUCCUGUUGUGACCCAGGGCCCAGGGGGUCUAGUCAAAACCUUACCUAUUUCUGCUAACCUAAACCUAUUUCUUACAAAUUAGGCAUAAAUGUGAUUAUGGUAUAAUGAUAAUUAAACCUGGCCCUUUUUCAGGCGCAAGCUUUGGAUGAACUUCUGCUUCUGCGGUCGGCAUUCUUACAGGAGAACCCAAGAUUCAUUGUACCUACCUGUAUGCAUUUCAAAACUGAAUAAUUGAUAGCAACAAGUAAAUAUUUGAAGUUGCAGCCAAAUGCUGUGCCUUCUCUGCUGCAAGAGCUACAUGUCACCAUUGAAGCAAGGACCAGCUCGACUCCUGCAGUAGGAGUCCAGCCUCGUCCAGUCGUCGCCGCUCGCCAAGACCAGCCGGACUCCUGCAAUAGGGGUCCAGGCUGACCCGUUCGUCCAGUAACCGCCGCUCGUCAGCACCAGCUGGGCUCCUGUAGUAGGGGUCCAGCCUCGUCCAGUCGCCGCCGCUCGCCAAGACCAGCUGGGCUCCUGUAGUAUGGGGCUAGGAUGGCCCGUUCAUCAACCGGUCCUGAAGUCACAUCGCCGUCAGCCAGCCGAACUCAGUACAUAAGUCACCAACCCUGAAUGUUGCCAGCCAAAGUCGGCAGUUUCCUUCGGACAGUCAUCUCACCAGUGUUGUACAGUGUACGAGGUUAGUGACGCAGUUAAAUGCGUCAAUUAAAUGCGAGGACGUGCGCUUGUAUGCAGCGUUUUGUCAUGUUGAGCUGCAUGGGUGUCGAUUUUCACCGAAUUGAGGGUGCCCACUGCCCGGGCGCAGCAAAUCCGCCGCUGCCUUAGCGGUGACCUUGACCCGCACCGUCUGUUGGGGCUCCAAAGCCAAGCCAGCCGAGCCGGCGGGGAAUCUAAAGAGCUUGAGCACCCCCAACCCGGCGGAAAUUGACACCUAUGUUGAGCUGUAUGGGUGCGUUUUAGCCUUCCGCCGUGGUGGUAAAUAGCAGCCUACAUGCAGAAUUAGGCAGGCUUAUUAGCGGACUCAUUAUUGGAUUCAUUGUGUCACGUUUGUCGGCACGUGUAAGAUGUGCUUAACUGCCAUUAGCUCUCGGCCUGGCGACUUCUGGGGACCACGUAAUGGGGAU
Molecule: long non-coding RNA, 1880 nt
Organism: Amphibalanus amphitrite
Lineage: Eukaryota; Metazoa; Arthropoda; Thecostraca; Balanomorpha; Balanidae
Exons: 3
Source: RefSeq, a predicted model, not a curated record